CAGUCGCCGCGGGAAUACGGAGGAUCCAAGCGUUAUCCGGAAUCAUUGGGUUUAAAGGGUCCGUAGGCGGUCUUGUAAGUCAGUGGUGAAAGCCCAUCGCUCAACGGUGGAACGGCCAUUGAUACUGCAGGACUUGAAUUAUUGGGAAGUAACUAGAAUAUGUAGUGUAGCGGUGAAAUGCUUAGAGAUUACAUGGAAUACCAAUUGCGAAGGCAGGUUACUACCAAUUGAUUGACGCUGAUGGACGAAAGCGUGGGUAGCGAACAGGAUUAGAUACCCCCGUAGUCCCUGUCUCUUAUAU
This 301-nucleotide ribosomal RNA is filed under the name uncultured bacterium. Its description in RNAcentral is "partial 16S ribosomal RNA". It matches the Rfam family "Bacterial small subunit ribosomal RNA", at positions 509 to 809 of the family's 1533-position model. The record is from RNAcentral.